CGUACCUUUUGUAUAAUGGGUCAGCGACUUAUAUUCUGUAGCAAGGUUAACCGAAUAGGGGAGCCGGAGGGAAACCGAGUCUUAAUUGGGCGUUAAGUUGCAGGGUAUAGACCCGAAACCCGGUGAUCUAGCCAUGGGCAGGUUGAAGGUUGGGUAACACUAACUGGAGGACCGAACCGACUAAUGUUGAAAAAUUAGCGGAUGACCUGUGGCUGGGGGUGAAAGGCCAAUCAAACCGGGAGAUAGCUGGUUCUCCCCGAAAGCUAUUUAGGUAGCGCCUCGUGAAUUCAUCUCCGGGGGUAGAGCACUGUUUCGGCUAGGGGGCCAUCCCGGCUUACCAACCCGAUGCAAACUGCGAAUACCGGAGAAUGUUAUCACGGGAGACACACGGCGGGUGCUAACGUCCGUCGUGAAGAGGGAAACAACCCAGACCGCCAGCUAAGGUCCCAAAGUCAUGGUUAAGUGGGAAACGAUGUGGGAAGGCCCAGACAGCCAGGAUGUUGGCUUAGAAGCAGCCAUCAUUUAAAGAAAGCGUAAUAGCUCACUGGUCGAGUCGGCCUGCGCGGAAGAUGUAACGGGGCUAAACCAU
RNAcentral lists this ribosomal RNA (589 nucleotides) under Salmonella enterica. RNAcentral describes it as "partial 23S ribosomal RNA". It matches the Rfam family "Bacterial large subunit ribosomal RNA", at positions 600 to 1190 of the family's 2925-position model. Lineage: Bacteria; Pseudomonadati; Pseudomonadota; Gammaproteobacteria; Enterobacterales; Enterobacteriaceae. RNAcentral also lists the same sequence under 4 other names. The record is from RNAcentral.